This 248-nucleotide ribosomal RNA is filed under the name Pseudomonas syringae pv. actinidiae. RNAcentral's name for it is "partial 16S ribosomal RNA". It matches the Rfam family "Bacterial small subunit ribosomal RNA", at positions 1 to 249 of the family's 1533-position model. The record is from RNAcentral. Lineage: Bacteria; Pseudomonadati; Pseudomonadota; Gammaproteobacteria; Pseudomonadales; Pseudomonadaceae.
GAACUGAAGAGUUUGAUCAUGGCUCAGAUUGAACGCUGGCGGCAGGCCUAACACAUGCAAGUCGAGCGGCAGCACGGGUACUUGUACCUGGUGGCGAGCGGCGGACGGGUGAGUAAUGCCUAGGAAUCUGCCUGGUAGUGGGGGAUAACGCUCGGAAACGGACGCUAAUACCGCAUACGUCCUACGGGAGAAAGCAGGGGACCUUCGGGCCUUGCGCUAUCAGAUGAGCCUAGGUCGGAUUAGCUAGU